CUCUGAAAAACGCAAACCCGGAGCAAUCCGGCGACGCAAAGCCUUCGGGUCCCUCAUGGGGAUGGCCGGGCCACCGAA
RNAcentral lists this non-coding RNA (78 nucleotides) under Geobacteraceae bacterium. RNAcentral's name for it is "c-di-GMP sequence". It matches the Rfam family "c-di-GMP-I riboswitch aptamer". Rfam says of the family: GEMM was predicted in a large-scale screen for bacterial structured RNA regulatory elements. Lineage: Bacteria; Pseudomonadati; Thermodesulfobacteriota; Desulfuromonadia; Geobacterales; Geobacteraceae. The record is from RNAcentral.